RNAcentral lists this ribosomal RNA (253 nucleotides) under uncultured bacterium. Its description in RNAcentral is "partial 16S ribosomal RNA". It matches the Rfam family "Bacterial small subunit ribosomal RNA", at positions 524 to 776 of the family's 1533-position model. The record is from RNAcentral.
UACGGAGGGUGCAAGCGUUAUCCGGAUUCACUGGGUUUAAAGGGUGCGUAGGUGGGUUGGUAAGUCAGUGGUGAAAUCUCCGUGCUUAACAUGGAAACUGCCAUUGAUACUACUGGUCUUGAAUUUUCCGGAGGUAAGCGGAAUAUGUCAUGUAGCGGUGAAAUGCUUAGAUAUGACAUAGAACACCUAUUGCGAAGGCAGCUUACUACGCCUAUAUUGACGCUGAGGCACGAAAGCGUGGGGAUCAAACAGG